RNAcentral lists this long non-coding RNA (2907 nucleotides) under Equus caballus (horse). Its description in RNAcentral is "lncRNA (ENSECAG00000045046.1)". The record is from RNAcentral. Lineage: Eukaryota; Metazoa; Chordata; Mammalia; Perissodactyla; Equidae.
GUGAAUGUUAUUUUUAAUGAAAGUGGUACAUUUUGACUCACGAUGUUGAAACCAGAUUAUAAAUGAGUCAUCGGUGAAUCAACCACAAGGAGCCUUUAUGAAGGUGAUUUACAGGAGGACUCUGACGUCUGCUGUCCCUUCACACGCUUCGCAGAGAUGCUGUCAGGCUUGGAGUUGGUCUGGGGCAUCUGCUGCCGAGUCAGCUCAAAAGGAUGCUGUGUUGUCACCAGUGGGAUUCCCCAGCCAGCCGGCACUGCGGUCCCACCCACAGAACUAAGGCAGCCAUCACUGAACAAUGCUUGUGGUUACAUCAUAGCUGCUGGCUUCCAGGUAGUGACUAGUAGAUACUGGGGAGAGUCACAGGCCAUCUGUUGCUCCCUGCUCCCAGACUCUUCCCUAAUGCCCACAUCCCCUCACCUGGUCAUCAAGAGGCUCAGUAGGAGGGCAGAAAAGUGAGACUUAAAGGUGAACAGACCUGGGCUUGAGUCCUAGGUCUAACGGAAUGGCCACAAAGAGUCAGGCAACAGCCUCAUGUUGCUCGUGUCUGAAAUGUAAACAUUAUCACCUACCAUGCCUCCCUUGCAGGAACCUUGCAAGGUUCUCGUGGGACCGUGCGAGUGAAAGUGUCUUGGAGACUGUCACAGGCCAUACCAAGCCAGCCCUUGCAGCUUCCACUUUCGCCCUCUGGAACUGCUGCCCUGGGGCCACCAUGCGAGGAAGCUGCUAGCCUGCUGGAAUAGGGGAGGCCACAUGGAGGAGAAGUGAGAUCCCCAACUUGACCGCCAGCACCAGCUGCCAGACUGUCAGAGAGGCCAUCCUGAGAUGACCUUCUAGCCCAGAUUCUGUGGAUCCGGAAUUUGGACAGAGAACAGAGAGGAUGACUUAUGUCUGCGCUACAACGUCUGGGGCCUCAACAGAAAAGACUCAAAGGCUGGGGUGACUCGACAGCUAGGGUUUAGAAUCAUGUGAAUGCUUGUUCACUCAUAUAUCUGGCAUCUGAUACAGACUAGGACUGCAGACCCAUGGUCUACAUGUGGCCUCUCCAUGUGGCUUGGCUUCCCCACAGCAAGGCAGCCACAGGAUAGUCAGACUUCUUCCUUGGUUACAGAACCCAAAAGCAUUGUCCCAGCAAACAAGACAGAGCAGCAGUGGCUUUUGUGACCCAGCUUCAGAAGUGGCACAGCAUCACUUCUCUCCUACUUUACACUGGUCAAAGUAGCCUCAAGUCUGUGAGGAGGAGGGAUGAGACUCUGUCUCUUAAUGGGAAAGGAAUCAAAGAAUUUUGAGGGUAUGUUCUGUCACAUUGCCCGAGACAUAGUCUCAGCGUUGAGCUAUUCUUCCUAAGCCUGUUACCAGCUGCCUGUUGAAAGAAUUGAUUGUCUCCUUAAUGUUCCUCUGUUGACCUGUGAAUGUCUUGCUGCAUCUCCCCCUACCCCUAACUAUCUGAAUUCUCAGCUGCUCCACUAUAUAUCAAGAAGUCUUCACUUGAUAUAAGAUCCUGACUCCCGAAAUGGAGUACACAGGAUCUCCCUCUGUACAGCAGGGCUUCUAAAUCUGUCAACAGCCCCUCCUCCAUGAUGGAUGGUCCAUCUCCAGUUUACAACCUGGUCCCUGUUAAUCCUCUGUAACUUCUUGUCAGGACUCCUUAAAGGGAUGAAAUAUUUUUCUGAACGUUGAAAACUCUGCAAACACACAAGAGAGGAGUUAUUAAACAAGCUCACAGUGGCUUCUUCACAAUACCAUUUGAUUGAAAAUAGUUUGACAAGGAAAAUUAAUCCCAGACUGAACUGAGGACUCAUUUUCCAAAAUGGGAAGAAAUGCUUCUCCUUCCACCAUCAAAGCCCCUCAAAAUGCCACCAAGAUUGUUGAAUAACACUGACUUGAGACAGGAAACCAAACGACUGGAAAUCCAGCUGCCCCUGGUUUAUUCAUAUUUACGCCUACAGAUUCACCCUUCGGCCUGGGCAAGCUUGACUCAAGAGAAGAGUUUCAUGCGCCUGAGCACCUAGCACCGGAUUUUAGAAGCUUCACGUUGCACUGACUGACAAGAAUUUCUGUUGGAGAAAACCUAAGGGUGUCCAUGGAAUUGUGUGAAAUAGUGGGACAGAAAGAGGCAGGGACCACAUCCCAGAGGGAGAUCAAAUGAAGCAAAACAAAGGAAGAGAAGGACUAGACCCAAACCCAGACCCCACACACAGCCUAGGACACGGCUCGGGUUGUCUGGAAGCAGUUCCCAGACAGAAACCUCAGUGUGAUGAAUCAGUUUCCUUGGACAUAGAGGGGAUAAAGAGUCUGCUGUAGAGACAGAGCAUAUUUAUUCAAGGAAUGGCUGUGAGAAUCGGGUAUGGGCAGAGGUGGGGGUGGAGUAUGUGGUGGCAAAAAGCCACCAUGAAUCCCCAGUCUAGACACUGAGCCCAUAAUGCCCAGGGAGAAGCAAACGAUCUAAAAGAGAAGGCAUGCUGGGGAGAAGCCAGUUGAGCCUGGCUCUGAAAUGACUGGUUGUGAUACCAGAGUCAGAUACUGCAGACGAGUCUUUGAAAAUCACAGAGAGGAGAAAAUAGAGAUGAUUUUAAGAUAAAUGUUAAUAGAAGCCCAAGUCUUCUCUCUUAUAAAUCAAAUUCCAUUGUAAACAAUGCCAUAAAAAAUGUCUACACCUCUAAAUAGCGAAGAUUUCCAAGUCUUAGAAGAAGGCCCCCUUAUAUGAAGCAACACAAACACAAUGAGUGUGAAAGCAACACUUAGACAACCUUGAAUUAUUCAGGACCAUCAUCAGUUAUAAAACAGUGUUGACACUGACUGAGGACACGCAUCCCAAGCCCAGAAAAAGAGAGAACAUCACCAUUUGGCCAGCAGUGACCUACAUGAUACAUUUUUAAAAGAUAAGACUUUUCCUCUUUUACUACCCAC